GGGAAUUUUGGACAAUGGGCGAAAGCCUGAUCCAGCCAUGCCGCGUGAGUGAAGAAGGCCUUCGGGUUGUAAAGCUCUUUUAGUCGGAAAGAAAGAGUUGCAAUGAAUAAUUGUGAUUUAUGACGGUACCGACAGAAAAAGCACCGGCUAACUACGUGCCAGCAGCCGCGGUAAUACGUAGGGUGCGAGCGUUAAUCGGAAUUACUGGGCGUAAAGGGUGCGAAGGCGGUCUUGCAAGUCAGAUGUGAAAGCCCCGGGCUUAACCUGGGAAUUGCGUUUGAAACUACAAGACUAGAGUGCAGCAGAGGGGAGUGGAAUUCCAUGUGUAGCAGUGAAACGCGUAGAGAUGUGGAAGAACACCGAUGGCGAAGGCAGCUCCCUGGGUUGACACUGACGCUCAUGCACGAAAGCGUGGGGAGCAAACA
This 425-nucleotide ribosomal RNA is filed under the name uncultured bacterium. Its description in RNAcentral is "bacterial SSU rRNA". It matches the Rfam family "Bacterial small subunit ribosomal RNA", at positions 357 to 774 of the family's 1533-position model. The record is from RNAcentral.